RNAcentral lists this antisense RNA (69 nucleotides) under Amycolatopsis mediterranei. Its description in RNAcentral is "Aspks sRNA". It matches the Rfam family "ASpks TB sRNA". RNAcentral also lists the same sequence under 1 other name. Lineage: Bacteria; Bacillati; Actinomycetota; Actinomycetes; Pseudonocardiales; Pseudonocardiaceae. The record is from RNAcentral.
CUUCAGCGAGCCGAGCCACAGCGGCGACUCGCGGUCCUUGCCGUAGGUAGCCAGCAGAGCUUGCGCCUC